CAACCUAUUUUACAAAGCGAGAACCUGAUUUCCGCUUUCGUUUUAUUUCAUCUACAUUCAUCGGGAUCGGAUGGACGCGUGUUUCCUUGUGUGAAAAAAUCGUAAAAAGGUGGCAAAAUGCUCAUCAGAACAAGAUAUUCUAGCAGGACGACUAAUAAUGCUCAUCAGAACAAGAUGUUUUAGCAGGAUGACAAAUAAUGCUUAUCAAACUUCCAAAUUUAUACAACAUCUACAAAGUCUACAAAGAUCUGCAAAGCUGCUUAAUAUCAAUGUGGUGAACUGUGCAUCUAAUAAUUUUGUGCAAAUACUACGUUUUGCAGAAAGCAAAUCCAAGCAAAUUUUUUUUUCUGUUAUAUAUUUGUGUUCCCAUUGUUGAUUAUUAUAAAGUUCUCAUUUUUCUUCUA
Non-coding RNA from Linepithema humile (Argentine ant), 404 nucleotides. NCBI's taxonomy places the organism in Eukaryota, Metazoa, Arthropoda, Insecta, Hymenoptera, Formicidae. The record is from RefSeq and is a predicted model, not a curated record.